UACCAGCUCCACGAGUGGGAACCACAAUUAUUGGGCCUAAAGCGCCCGUAGCCGGUUUAAUAAAUUCCUUGUGAAAUUGUUGUGCUUAACAUAACAACGUGCAGGGAAGACUGUUAGACUUGGGAUUGGGAGGAGUUAGAAGUAUAUUUGGGGUAGCGGUAAAAUGUUAUAAUCCUAAAUAGACUACCAAUGGUGAAAGCAUCUAACUAGAACAAGUCCGACGGUGAGGGACGAAAGCUAGGGGAGCAAAACG
This 253-nucleotide ribosomal RNA is filed under the name uncultured archaeon. Its description in RNAcentral is "partial 16S ribosomal RNA". It matches the Rfam family "Archaeal small subunit ribosomal RNA", at positions 474 to 726 of the family's 1478-position model. The record is from RNAcentral.